AAUCCAUGCAUCAAACACUUCCAAAUUAAGUCUUUAAAUCGUUCCCAAGUUUCAUAUAGCUGUUCAUCAUCUGAUUGAUGAAAAGAUAUGAUGUCAUUUCUAAGCUU
Non-coding RNA from Gossypium raimondii (Peruvian cotton), 107 nucleotides. Lineage: Eukaryota; Viridiplantae; Streptophyta; Magnoliopsida; Malvales; Malvaceae. The record is from Rfam.